UGGGGAAUAUUGCACAAUGGGCGCAAGCCUGAUGCAGCAAUGCCGCGUGAGUGAAGACGGCCUUAGGGUUGUAAAACUCUUUCGCUAGGGAAGAUAAUGACGGUACCUAGUAAAGAAGUCCCGGCUAACUCCGUGCCAGCAGCCGCGGUAAUACGGAGGGGACUAGCGUUGUUCGGAAUUACUGGGCGUAAAGAGUUCGUAGGCGGACUAGCAAGUUAGAGGUGAAAUCCCAGGGCUCAACCUUGGAACUGCCUUUAAAACUGCUAGUCUAGAGACCGGAAGAGGUUAGGGGAAUACCUAGUGUAGAGGUGAAAUUCGUAGAUAUUAGGUGGAACACCAGUGGCGAAGGCGCCUAACUGGUCCGGUACUGACGCUGAGGAACGAAAGCGUGGGGAGCAAACAGGAUUAGAUACCCUGGUAGUCCACGCCGUAAACGAUGAGUGCUAGAUGUUGGGAUUUUCGGAUUUCAGUGUCGCAGCUAACGCAUUAAGCACUCCGCCUGGGGAGUACGGCCGCAGGUU
RNAcentral lists this ribosomal RNA (521 nucleotides) under uncultured bacterium. RNAcentral's name for it is "bacterial SSU rRNA". It matches the Rfam family "Bacterial small subunit ribosomal RNA", at positions 355 to 895 of the family's 1533-position model. The record is from RNAcentral.